UCGCACUGGUGGAUGUGGUGCAG
This 23-nucleotide non-coding RNA is filed under the name Arabidopsis thaliana (thale cress). Lineage: Eukaryota; Viridiplantae; Streptophyta; Magnoliopsida; Brassicales; Brassicaceae. The record is from RNAcentral.